Molecule: transfer RNA, 98 nt
Filed under: Ralstonia thomasii
Lineage: Bacteria; Pseudomonadati; Pseudomonadota; Betaproteobacteria; Burkholderiales; Burkholderiaceae
Description: Ralstonia sp. LMG 18095 tRNA-Stop(tta)
Source: RNAcentral
GUGUGCGUGGGAAGGGCCAUUGCAUACCUCAUCGUUUUUACGGCGGGGUGGUUGCCAUGGUAGGAAAAGUCUUCCCGUGCCGCACGGGGCGUGGAUGC